GACAUUUAAAAUCCUUAAAAGAAAAUAGGGGGCAGGAGUUACAAUGAACUGGGACUGAUGGUGCCAUAAGACAUUUUUUAAUUUUGCCUAUAUGUUCCAAAAUCCUAACCUUGAGAACCUUUUUUGUGCAACCUACAUAUUGUUUGCCACACGGACACUGCAGCAAAUAAACCACAAAGUCCAUGUGGUAUCCUAUGUCAGAUUUAAUUUGAAAUGUAUCGCCUAUUACGAAACUAGAAAAAUGGUUCGUUUUUUUUCAGAAGGAUAGUGGAGAUUUCUUUGCAAGAAUUGCAUCCUCUAAACAUACAGGUAUUGUCCCUAAUAGCAUGGGUGUUGGUUUUUAUAACAUAACUGGGGGCUAACAUAUUUUUUAAAUUACGAUUAUUUUUUGUAAAUAAGUGUGGGACGUCUAGGUAGAUAAGCUCAUAUGACUGGGUCCUGCAAAAAUAUAGGCCAAUGUUUUGAUAGACCUUUUUUUUUUUUUACAUGAUCCAGAUAAUACUG
This is a non-coding RNA of Pelobates cultripes (western spadefoot toad), 504 nucleotides long. The record is from the annotation of a GenBank genome assembly. NCBI's taxonomy places the organism in Eukaryota, Metazoa, Chordata, Amphibia, Anura, Pelobatidae.